This 499-nucleotide ribosomal RNA is filed under the name uncultured bacterium. RNAcentral describes it as "partial 16S ribosomal RNA". It matches the Rfam family "Bacterial small subunit ribosomal RNA", at positions 28 to 507 of the family's 1533-position model. The record is from RNAcentral.
GACGAACGCUGGCGGCGUGCCUAAUACAUGCAAGUCGAGCGAAGUUUUUCUGGUGCUUGCACUAGAAAAACUUAGCGGCGAACGGGUGAGUAACACGUAAAGAACCUGCCUCAUAGACUGGGACAACUAUUGGAAACGAUAGCUAAUACCGGAUAACGGUAUUUCUCGCAUGAGAGAUAUUUAAAAGUUGGUUAUGCUAACACUAUGAGAUGGCUUUGCGGUGCAUUAGCUAGUUGGUGGGGUAAAGGCCCACCAAGGCGACGAUGCAUAGCCGACCUGAGAGGGUGAUCGGCCACACUGGGACUGAGACACGGCCCAGACUCCUACGGGAGGCAGCAGUAGGGAAUCUUCCGCAAUGGGCGAAAGCCUGACGGAGCAACGCCGCGUGAGUGAAGAAGGAUUUCGGUUCGUAAAGCUCUGUUGUUAGGGAAGAAUGGAUAUGUAGUAACUAUACAUGUAAGAGACGGUACCUAACCAGAAAGCCACGGCUAACUACGUG